RNAcentral lists this long non-coding RNA (1141 nucleotides) under Physcomitrium patens. Its description in RNAcentral is "long non-coding RNA (PPAT_LNC002809)". Lineage: Eukaryota; Viridiplantae; Streptophyta; Bryopsida; Funariales; Funariaceae. The record is from RNAcentral.
GGUUGCUACAUAAGCUGCCCAAUUGAACACCAUCCCUUCAAACAUCCCUACCACUGCAAACAUUAACCGUCUUGACAUAUAUGUAUUGUAUUGAUACAACCCUAGACGCCUCAGUACAAAGUGCAAUCAUUCUAUGAGCUCUGAUAUAAUUGCCUCAACCGUCCGCCAAUCUUGAUUCUUUUCAAAUAAUGACAUGCCACCUUUCAAAUAACUUCCUGGUCGGAAGUCACUGGACUCCUCAACAUCCACUGCAAUCUCUCCAACUGGAAGAAACAAUACUUUUUUGAGGAUCUUCUCAUCAAUACCGAUAACGUGUCCUUGUACUAUGCUCAAUCCAUUCUGUGGGUCAUAGUUUGCGAUGUAUUCUUCCACUAAUGCCAUAUUAAUUGAAGGCAAACUAUCUGACCUUUGCAAAAACUGAAACAUUUGCGCAUUUCAAAAAUCUCAUAUUCUCCUUGGCGUCCAGGAAAUCUCCAACUUCAUAGGCUCCACAUUGGUAAUGGUUACUACAGAUGGUGGUCCUAAAUUGCAUUUAGCUUUCACAUUUCGGCCACUUUCCUCUCUGUCCAUAGCUCUCUUUAUACUCUUAAUCUCCAUGACGCACACUCUUUCAAGCUCUAACCGUCAAUACUAUGCUCCAGUACUCUGAAACACCCGAAAUUGUAACACUGAAAAGAAACAAUAACAGAAUGCGACACCUAAGAAUGACUGUAAAUGGGUGCCUUACUCCUAUUCUUUUACGUAGUAGUUAUAACGACAACAUGUUAUCCCUACUGUCCGUUUCUCAUCUCCGUCCCAUCUGACACAUUAGUAAUUACUAACUAUCAUUUCAGCCGCCUCUACAUCCUAUCGCACUUAAUUAGGUCUAUCUUAAGUACAUUCGACAUGACCUCCUCCAGAAAUUGAAAAUCCAUCCUGGAUUUUAUGUAUGAUAUAACCAUAAUCGGUUCCAAUUAAUACGAGUACUGAAUCGAUGACCCAUGAAAUCCUCUAAUUGAACACACCCAUUGAAAAAUCCUUCAAUCACACGAUAUGGCCCAUGCCAGUGAACUUGAAAUUUGCCCGAAAAAUGAUUAAACCUGCUAUCAUACAACAAUACCAAAUCAUUGGGCAUAAAAUUCUUCAGACGCAGUUUACUAUC